This 642-nucleotide ribosomal RNA is filed under the name uncultured Bacteroidota bacterium. RNAcentral's name for it is "bacterial SSU rRNA". It matches the Rfam family "Bacterial small subunit ribosomal RNA", at positions 28 to 665 of the family's 1533-position model. Lineage: Bacteria; Pseudomonadati; Bacteroidota. The record is from RNAcentral.
GAUGAACGCUAGCGGCAGGCCUAAUACAUGCAAGUCGAACGGUAACAUGAGUAGCAAUACUUGAUGACGAGUGGCGCACGGGUGCGUAACGCGUAUGCAAUCUACCUUCAACUGGUGAAUAGCCCGAAGAAAUUCGGAUUAAUACACCAUAGUAUAAUUGAGUGGCAUCACUUAAUUAUUAAAACUCCGGUGGUUGAAGAUGAGCAUGCGUGACAUUAGCUAGUUGGUGAGGUAAUGGCUCACCAAGGCUACGAUGUCUAGGGGAUCUGAGAGGAUUAACCCCCACACUGGUACUGAGACACGGACCAGACUCCUACGGGAGGCAGCAGUAAGGAAUAUUGGACAAUGGUCGCAAGACUGAUCCAGCCAUGCCGCGUGAAGGAUGAAGGCCCUAUGGGUUGUAAACUUCUUUUGUACGGGAAAAAACCCCUCUACGUGUAGAGGGCUGAUUGUACUGUAAGAAUAAGGAUCGGCUAACUCCGUGCCAGCAGCCGCGGUAAUACGGAGGAUCCAAGCGUUAUCCGGAUUCAUUGGGUUUAAAGGGUGCGUAGGCGGAAUGAUAAGUCAGUGGUGAAAUCCUGCAGCUUAACUGCAGAACUGCCAUUGAUACUGUCAAUCUUGAGUACAUUUGAUGUGGGCGGA